This is a non-coding RNA of Sesamum indicum (sesame), 464 nucleotides long. NCBI's taxonomy places the organism in Eukaryota, Viridiplantae, Streptophyta, Magnoliopsida, Lamiales, Pedaliaceae. The record is from RefSeq and is a predicted model, not a curated record.
GCUCGAUGUCAUCGAUGUCUUCCUCAUCAUCGUCUCCCUCAACCCUGGGGCUUCCUUGAAUUACAAAGAAAAAGGUGAUAAGGAAAGAUUACAAGAACUUGCAACCUUGCAUGCAAGAACGAAAAGUUCAUUCCGGUUGUGAGAACCAGCAACGAGUCCGGCGCUGGCUUCCAUUGGUGGUGCAGGGUGGCGGCAGUGGUGGUGGUACGUGGCGGUGAGCUAGGAUUUGAUGAUGUAGAGGUGUAGUAAUGGAAAUGCGAGUCUCCAUUGCCUUCAAGUUAAGCUUCUUCUGUUCCAACCACCUUCAAGUUAGGCUUCUCUCCCCCUCUCUCUCUCCCCCUUCCCAAAGACAGCUAACUGCAGAGAUUAAGAUUCAUGAAUUAUUUGAAGGGUUAAUUAUACUUAUCCCUUUAAAAAUGCGAAACGACUUACACCCUUUUUGAAAAUUUUUCGUUUACACCUAA